This 484-nucleotide ribosomal RNA is filed under the name Sulfitobacter sp. SAM2. Its description in RNAcentral is "bacterial SSU rRNA". It matches the Rfam family "Bacterial small subunit ribosomal RNA", at positions 376 to 878 of the family's 1533-position model. The record is from RNAcentral. Lineage: Bacteria; Pseudomonadati; Pseudomonadota; Alphaproteobacteria; Rhodobacterales; Roseobacteraceae.
CGAAAGCCUGAUCUAGCCAUNCCGCGUGUGUGAUGAAGGCCUUAGGGUCGUAAAGCACUUUCGCCAGGGAUGAUAAUGACAGUACCUGGUAAAGAAACCCCGGCUAACUCCGUGCCAGCAGCCGCGGUAAUACGGAGGGGGUUAGCGUUGUUCGGAAUUACUGGGCGUAAAGCGCACGUAGGCGGAUCAGAAAGUUGGGGGUGAAAUCCCAGGGCUCAACCCUGGAACUGCCCUCAAAACUCCUGGUCUUGAGUUCGAGAGAGGUGAGUGGAAUUCCAAGUGUAGAGGUGAAAUUCGUAGAUAUUUGGAGGAACACCAGUGGCGAAGGCGGCUCACUGGCUCGAUACUGACGCUGAGGUGCGAAAGUGUGGGGAGCAAACAGGAUUAGAUACCCUGGUAGUCCACACCGUAAACGAUGAAUGCCAGACGUCGGGCAGUAUACUGUUCGGUGUCACACCUAACGGAUUAAGCAUUCCGCCUGGGG